GUGAAUCAUCAAAUUUUUGAACGCAAAUUGCACUCUCUUCGGGGAGUAUGCCUGUUUGAGGGUCAGCCUAAAAAAAAUCGACAUAGUUGCUGUUACGCGGUAACAUUCGUCGGAAAUUGGGUCAUCUUAAACCUUUGGGUUUAAACGGCUCAAAAAUUUCUCUAUGAUUCCAAGGGAACUUCUAAG
RNAcentral lists this unclassified non-coding RNA (186 nucleotides) under Glomus sp. RNAcentral's name for it is "partial contains 5.8S ribosomal RNA and internal transcribed spacer 2". The stretch from base 1 to 65 matches the Rfam family "5.8S ribosomal RNA", at positions 84 to 154 of the family's 154-position model. The record is from RNAcentral. Lineage: Eukaryota; Fungi; Glomeromycota; Glomeromycetes; Glomerales; Glomeraceae.